RNAcentral lists this long non-coding RNA (1020 nucleotides) under Helianthus annuus (common sunflower). Its description in RNAcentral is "hypothetical non coding rna". The record is from RNAcentral. Lineage: Eukaryota; Viridiplantae; Streptophyta; Magnoliopsida; Asterales; Asteraceae.
AUUUUUUUUAAUAAUUUCUUAAAAUUAAAUAUCAUUAAAACUUAAAAUUCAACAUUAAAUAAAAAUAAAACUAAAAACUUAAAACAUUACAUUAUAUAUCAUUAAAACUUAAUACAUAAAACAGUACAUAACUUAAAACCUAAAAGCUUAAACGUUGAUUCAAAUAACGUGUUACGCGUAGUCAUGUUUGUAGUCUAUAAGUGCCAAAGCCAUGUCUUUUUCUUCGGUCCAUGGGAGUGACAUAUUUAAGAUUGUGUUUUGUGAACGACAAAGAUAGAAAAGAUUUGUGUAAAAAUUGAAAAAGUUUUGUGAUUGGACUAGAUGGUAUAGGUUGGUUAAAUUGAUAAACAGAAUAAAAUAUUUGAAUUUGAUUUUUUUAAUAGUAAAUGAUCAAGAUGGUUUUGACUCCGUGAAUUUUUUGAUCGUUUUAUUAAAAAAAUAAAAUUCAAAUAUUUGAUUCUUUUCUGUUUAACCAAUCCAUACUAUUUACCAAAACCACCAAACUCUCUCUAUAUCUACCCAAACUUUUUUAUUCUUCUAUGCAUAAAACUCUCAUCUUUAAAUACGUCUAUCUCGUGGAUCGAAGAGGAAAACAUCGCGUUGACGCUUAUCAACUACAAAAAAAAAGUAUGACGGCGUGGUUUUUUUUAUUUAAUUAAUCUCACAUAUAUGAAAUUAAUCCAUUAAAUUAUCAAGAUUUAAGAAGAUUAUUAAAUUAUAAAGAUUUAAAAAGAUUUUAAACUCCAUCUGACAUUGUUUUUUCUCAAAUCCUUUCGUGUAAUAAUCAUUCAUUAAACGAACGCCUCUAAAGAGUAGCCGUAUGAAGGCUUUAUAGCACGUAUCAUAUCCGCUUAGUUAGGAGGCUGAAACCAAACCUGUUUUUUUAACAAUUAGAAAGCGGGCGGAUCUGCAUCGGUCUGUGUUCUAAUCUGGAUUAAAACUACCGAUGCAUUUUGAGGAGAUCAACUGUUGUUCUAUCAGUUUUUCUCUCAAGCAGUAUCGGACAUGUUUUUUUUAAUU